RNAcentral lists this ribosomal RNA (496 nucleotides) under uncultured bacterium. RNAcentral's name for it is "bacterial SSU rRNA". It matches the Rfam family "Bacterial small subunit ribosomal RNA", at positions 903 to 1397 of the family's 1533-position model. The record is from RNAcentral.
AAAUGAAUAGACGGGGACCCGCACAAGCGGUGGAGCAUGUGGUUUAAUUCGAGGCAACGCGAAGAACCUUACCAAGGCUUGACAUCCCGCUGACCGGUGUAGAGAUACACCCUCCCCUUCGGGGGCGGCGGAGACAGGUGGUGCAUGGUUGUCGUCAGCUCGUGUCGUGAGAUGUUGGGUUAAGUCCCGCAACGAGCGCAACCCCUAUCUUUAGUAGCCAGCGCGUCAAGGCGGGCACACUAGAGAGACUGCCGUGGCAACGCGGAGGAAGGUGGGGAUGAGGUCAAAUCAUCAUGCCCCUUAUGUCUUGGGCUACACACGUGCUACAAUGGCUGCAACAGAGUGAAGCGAACCUGUGAGGGUAAGCAAACCACAAAAAAGCAGUCUCAGUUCGGAUUGCAGGCUGCAACCCGCCUGCAUGAAGUUGGAAUCGCUAGUAAUCGCGAAUCAGCACGUCGCGGUGAAUACGUUCCCGGGUCUUGUACACACCGCCCGU